Molecule: long non-coding RNA, 1818 nt
Organism: Bubalus bubalis (water buffalo)
Lineage: Eukaryota; Metazoa; Chordata; Mammalia; Artiodactyla; Bovidae
Exons: 5
Source: RefSeq, a predicted model, not a curated record
UUCCAUGCAAGAAUACUAGAGUGGGUAGCCCUUCCCUUCUCCAGGGUAUCUUCCCAAGCCAGGGUUUGAAUCCCAUCUCCUGCAUUGCAGGGCAGAUUCUUUACUGCUGAGCCAGCGGAAAGCCCUUAUGAGCUGAUACCUAGUAGCAAUCAUACAAGGUGAGUGAGGGAGUGGGGAGAGGGCUUGCUAGAGGGCUGAGCACCAUUUUGCUUCCUAACAGCCAUGUGGAUCACUGCAAUUCAUUGCAACAGGGAAAAGGGGAUGUCCAGCUUCCGGUUUCCUGGUCUCUGCAGAGCUUAACCUAACUGGGAAUCCAACAGAGCAAGAGGACAUUCAGAACACCCAUUGGCAAGUGGUGCAGAGUCAGCACUCUUGCCUGCAAAGUCCCAGGGACGGGGGAGCCUGGUGGGCUGCAGUCCACGGGGUCGUGAAGAGUCGGGCACGACUGAAGCGACUUAGCAGCAGCAGCAGCAGAAUCAGUAUGAAGACGGUCUGCACUGAAACACUGAAGCUCUGAGCAUUUCACAAUGCACAUUUUGUUUGGGGCAUGGAGCUGGAAGAAGUUAUUUGACCUGGGUUGUGAUUCAGCUGGAAGAAGCCAGGCAGACUUUCCAGGUCCUGAAAGGAAGGCUGGUCCCACAAGGCCCUUAUUCCACGUGAGAAAGGCAAUCUUCAUUGUGACGCUGACUCAGGCCCCAAAGAGUUUGGGGUGACUUGAAGUGUUUUGGUCGGAGUGAAUUCUAAGUGGGCCAAGUGGUCCCACCAUGGCUAUUAGAUUCCUCUUGCAUUUUCUUUUUCUUGAUCACUUACAGUUGAGCACAAAGCUGAUGCUAAGCCAUGUGGAUUUGCCGGGCGUCUGAAAAGGACUCCCAAAGUGACAACAAGGCAAAAAGGGAUAGGGAAGAAUCCCACUGCCCGGCACCUGCCUUGCCUGGGAAGUGACAUUCAUCAUCUGUCUACGGGAGCAAGUCACACCCCCAUUGAUGGAAGGCUGGGAAAUGCAAGAGGGCACACAAUGUGCUUUUACUUCCUGUCUUUGCCGUGUGUGUCAUGCAUGUUCUGUGAUGCUCAAAUGAAAUUACAGAUUAAAGUACUUUAUCAGUUUUUCACAGUAUUUAUAACAGGCUUAUAUUACUUUGUAUUUCAUUCAGGAUGUGCCAAUUUUGGUAUGUUUGUUCCCACUUGUACACACUUCCCCCCCCCGCCAGUUGCCUCUCUUCAAAAUAGAAACAGCAGCCCUGAAGUUUCUUAAAGGCUGGUUGGCAAACAGGUUCUUCCACUCUCUACCUUUUUGCACCUAAACACUUGGUCACCCAUCACUUGAUUAGAGCAACAGAGUGAAAACACAUUGGAACGAGUGGAAGAUUUGAAUUUUAGAAGAAAUAUAGAAGACUUGUAGAAAUUUGAACUGGCUGCUGACAACCCUGCCAAUUUUGUUUUAACGGCAAAGACGCCUCUAUAAUGAACCGCUGGCAUGGCAUGCAAAUCACACGUGGAGACCUUCCUUGAGUAGCUUCAGUAGGACCCCUAUCAAUCUUGUUUGUGUUACUGAUUUGCUUAGUGAAGCCACUUCUCAAAAAGAGUACAAAGGCAGGCUUCAAUGCAGCUUGAGCCAAAUUAUUAUAAUUCUGGAAUGAGUGGAAUCUGAAAUAAUGAGGUUUUAUUUUCCUUUGCCCUGGGGGUUUCUAUGUAGUAUUGGAAGAGGAAGAAAUAUUUGUUUUAUUUAAAAGACACACAACUUUCAUUGUGUUCAAAGCGGAGUUAGAAAACAAGUCAAUAAAACAGCCUCCUGGUACAAUGGGACUUGUUCUGGUAUUA